This 330-nucleotide ribosomal RNA is filed under the name Allapsidae sp. RNAcentral's name for it is "SSU rRNA". The stretch from base 121 to 330 matches the Rfam family "Eukaryotic small subunit ribosomal RNA", at positions 746 to 955 of the family's 1831-position model. The record is from RNAcentral. Lineage: Eukaryota; Cercozoa; Glissomonadida; Viridiraptoridae.
GAUUUCUGACGAAACUGCUAGCUGGCCCGCCACGUCAGUGUGUGAGUGCCGGCUUGGCGUUUGUCAUCCGUUCGAAUGAUAUGCAUGCUGCCCUUCACUGGGUUGGCAUUGCAUGUUUUCGAUCUUUUACUUUGAAAAAAUUAGAGUGUUUCAAGCAGGCAUGUUUGCUGUGAAUACAUUAGCAUGGAAUAAUAAUCUAGGACUUCGGUUCUAUUUUGUUGGUUUCUAUAACUGAAGUAAUGAUUGAUAGGGAUAGUUGGGGGUGCUAGUAUUCAGCGGCCAGAGGUGAAAUUCUCGGAUUCGCUGAAGACUAACUUAUGCGAAAGCAUU